Molecule: ribosomal RNA, 426 nt
Filed under: uncultured bacterium
Lineage: Bacteria
Description: partial 16S ribosomal RNA
Rfam family: Bacterial small subunit ribosomal RNA
Source: RNAcentral
GUGAGGAAUUUUCCGCAAUGGGCGAAAGCCUGACGGAGCAAUGCCGCGUGAAGGAUGAAGGCCUAUGGGUUGUAAACUUCUUUUCUCAGAAAAGAAUUAUGACGGUAUCUGAGGAAUAAGCAUCGGCUAACUUUGUGCCAGCAGCCGCGGUAAGAAAGAGGAUGCAAGCGUUAUCCGGAAUGAUUGGUCGUAAAGCGUCUGUAGGUUGUUUAAAAAGUAUUCUGUAAAAGAUUAGGGCUUAACCCUAGAUAGGCAGAAUAAACUUUUAAGCUAGAGUUUGGUAGAGGCAGAGGGAAUUCCCGUUGGAGCGGUGAAAUGCGUAGAUAUCGGGAGGAACACCAAAGGCGAAGGCACUCUGCUGGGCCAAUACUAACACUGAGAGACGAAAGCGAGGGGAGCAAAUGGGAUUAGAUACCCUGGUAGUCC